AUAACAUCGGGCUUGUUACCGGACGAAUUGUCCGAGAGAAUGUAUCCACCCUUCUCAACUCCUUCAAUGGAAGUUCCAGGAAGAUUGGGCAACUUUUGGCGAGAAAGGGCAAGAAUGGAAGGUCUCUUUCGAUUUAGUACUGCAACUUUGUACGCCCCAGCAGUCUCAUUACCAUCAGCUGGUCGGAGCAUCAAUAUGUUUGGCAUAGCCCUGAAGCUUGCCAGAUGUUCGAUUGGCUGAUGGGUUGGCCCAUCUUCACCAAGACCGAUCGAAUCAUGAGU
RNAcentral lists this unclassified non-coding RNA (281 nucleotides) under Hevea brasiliensis (rubber tree). The record is from RNAcentral. Lineage: Eukaryota; Viridiplantae; Streptophyta; Magnoliopsida; Malpighiales; Euphorbiaceae.